UGUUUUCAAGAAAAUCAAGAAACUGAAUCUUCGUCCAAUUUUGCUGUUUUGAGCGAUUUUAAGAAUCAAGAAAAUCAAGAUUUCAAAUCUUGGAAAUCUUGGUCCAAAAAACCGAAUUUUGCAGCUAAGGCGCAUUGGAUCUCAGUUACGAGCAUCAACGAACCAAUUUCAGGAGAGAACGAAUUACAAGCCCAAAUGCUUGAAGAAACGACCCAAUAAGAUGUUCCAAGCCCAAUCAAGAAAUUUAAAUUAGACUUAGUUGAAAAUCAAGCCAA
This 275-nucleotide long non-coding RNA is filed under the name Gossypium raimondii (Peruvian cotton). RNAcentral's name for it is "long non-coding RNA (GRAI_LNC001446)". Lineage: Eukaryota; Viridiplantae; Streptophyta; Magnoliopsida; Malvales; Malvaceae. The record is from RNAcentral.